This 819-nucleotide ribosomal RNA is filed under the name Streptococcus equi subsp. zooepidemicus. RNAcentral's name for it is "bacterial SSU rRNA". It matches the Rfam family "Bacterial small subunit ribosomal RNA", at positions 49 to 850 of the family's 1533-position model. The record is from RNAcentral. Lineage: Bacteria; Bacillati; Bacillota; Bacilli; Lactobacillales; Streptococcaceae.
UAAUACAUGCAAGUAGAACGCAGAGGUCAGGUGCUUGCACUGGACUGAUGAGUUGCGAACGGGUGAGUAACGCGUAGGUAACCUACCUGAUAGCGGGGGAUAACUAUUGGAAACGAUAGCUAAUACCGCAUAAAAGUGGUUGACCCAUGUUAACCAUUUAAAAGGAGCAACAGCUCCACUAUGAGAUGGACCUGCGUUGUAUUAGCUAGUUGGUAGGGUAAAGGCCUACCAAGGCGACGAUACAUAGCCGACCUGAGAGGGUGAACGGCCACACUGGGACUGAGACACGGCCCAGACUCCUACGGGAGGCAGCAGUAGGGAAUCUUCGGCAAUGGGGGGAACCCUGACCGAGCAACGCCGCGUGAGUGAAGAAGGUUUUCGGAUCGUAAAGCUCUGUUGUUAGAGAAGAACAGUGAUGGGAGUGGAAAGUCCAUCAUGUGACGGUAACUAACCAGAAAGGGACGGCUAACUACGUGCCAGCAGCCGCGGUAAUACGUAGGUCCCGAGCGUUGUCCGGAUUUAUUGGGCGUAAAGCGAGCGCAGGCGGUUUGAUAAGUCUGAAGUUAAAGGCAGUGGCUUAACCAUUGUAUGCUUUGGAAACUGUUAAACUUGAGUGCAGAAGGGGAGAGUGGAAUUCCAUGUGUAGCGGUGAAAUGCGUAGAUAUAUGGAGGAACACCGGUGGCGAAAGCGGCUCUCUGGUCUGUAACUGACGCUGAGGCUCGAAAGCGUGGGGAGCAAACAGGAUUAGAUACCCUGGUAGUCCACGCCGUAAACGCUGAGUGCUAGGUGUUAGGCCCUUUCCGGGGCUUAGUGCCGUA